This is a long non-coding RNA of Coregonus clupeaformis (lake whitefish), 3590 nucleotides long. RefSeq lists it as uncharacterized. Lineage: Eukaryota; Metazoa; Chordata; Actinopteri; Salmoniformes; Salmonidae. The record is from RefSeq and is a predicted model, not a curated record. The transcript has 3 exons.
GAUGGGCCUGGAGAAUGUCAUCACUCUCAAAUUCAUUGACAGAGCUAUGGAUGCAAGGACUGACUGUCCACGAUAUCAAAAUCAUAGCUUUGAGGCUAUACAUCGUUUUUUACAUUUACUUUGUUUACAAAACAAGCUUAUGCACUCUAUUCAAUCCGUAACACGGAUGUUCAGCGUUACAGCAUGAUUGAAAUUUAAAGGCAAUGUUCCUGCGUUAGCGGCAAAUGUUGGCGUUUAACAUUUCUAUCACACAAUCUUUAAUGCUUCAGCGAUACAGAUUGAAUAGAGCCCUAUAUUUUGGGUUCUGAUGGGGUACGACUGGUAAACUAAGCUAAUGAGGCAUUUAUGAGUUAUAUUCUUCAAGAAUCAAUGGGUACAUAUCAUUAAUUUACGUCCAAAAAUGUAUGUAGCAAAUGCUGAAUUGCCCCUUUAAAAGCUGCAUUGUCGACCAUGCGAGAUCGGAUUGAAACUCAAUUAUUGUCCGUGUUCGAGAGCAUCAAAACCGUGAUGUAUCAUGGGUAAAUUAUGAUUGACUGAUAUUGUAUAGUUAUUUAUGAUGCAAGGUGAUGCGACUCGCUUUUAAAGUAUGCUGCAAUGUCAUUCUUUCCUCACCUCUUUCUCAAAAUGCAUUGAAGGGAAAGGUCCAAGUGAAAGGGGCUUGGAUCUUGGAUUCAUCCAUUGCUACAUAAUACAUAUUAGGAACUUCCUCAUUCCGUCUCCUCAGACCCUCCCCUAGUCAAGUAUCAACCCUGCACAAAUCAAGUCUUAAUCCUCCCCUAGUCAAUCCUCACCCCUGAUCUAGUCAAGACUCACUUCUCCUUCUCAUCCCUCACCCUUCCACUCUUUUAUUCACAAUAGUUAGAUUUUCCAUUGGCUGAAAUACAUGCUAAGAGACUGAAAGAAUCGUUGUUUUUCUAAGGACCCCCAAAAAACUGAGGCAGUUGGAAAAUGUAUUAAUAUACGGAGAACUGUGAAAGCCCGUCCGCAGAUGAAGAGGUCCCUAUGAAUGUCCCAAGAGACUAAGGGUAUAUACUUGUAUGCCACAGAGCAAGUAAUGCGUCUGCAUCCAGAGGUGGAGGUGAAGACCUUGAGGAAGGUUAGCUGCCAGAUAAAAACUUCAAAAUGAAAGAAAACUGCUUGGCAGGGAAAGAAACACAUUUGUAUAAAUAAUAAUAUUAAGGGCUUUAUUCAAUCAGAUCUGCUUUAAGACGAUUAAAAGCCAACUUAUGCUUGCUCUGGCAAUGCGAUCCGGAGGCGCCGUAUGGAGGUUGUGACGCAAUUGUGGAGCCUCUGGAGGCUUGCGCAGGCCAAAUCAAGCUCUGCACAGCAUCGCUGUGCGCCUCCCAAAUCUGGUAGCAAUGCGGAGGGCUCCGUACAGCUCUGCAUUGCCAUGAUUGGUUGAUGGUAGGUGGGGGUGGUACGUCCUGUAUAAACACAAACUCAAUUUCUUGACAACUUCCUUCACAACAGCUCUGCUCUGCGAAGUCCAAGAGGUAUUAAUACCCAUACUUCUGCAGAGGCCGCAUGCAGUAAAUGCUGUUCUGUGAAUACAGACCCCAGGAUGACCGUAAAUCAGCUCCCAGCAUUAUAGGGUAACGUGGGGUAACUGGCCUCCUGUGGUAACUGCCCCAGAGGUUUGGACUCAAUUCACAAAUUGGAUGACUUGAGACGCGACUUGAUAGAAAAUAAAGUUACUUGAUUUGGAGACUCUGGACUUUGACUUGAGUCUGAAGACUUGAAAUGAUCUGGCCAGGUUUUGUAAAAUGUUGUCACUAAUUUUGUGGCACAGCGUCUCCAGUGGAUUACACUCCAUGAAGCCAGAGACAGUAUCACACUUGCAAAAAAAAAAACACUAUAGUGAAACACACUCUGCCCUAUGAUUGGACCAGCAAACUGUCAAUCAACACAGGUCAGGUGCGCUAGCAGUGAGAAGGUUUUGGGGGGGGGUUGCAAGUGUGAAACUGAAUGGGAAAAUAAAAAAGUCAUACAUAUUUUAAUAUCCUACCAUUAAUUUUUUAUAUUUAUACCUUUGCUUAUUUGUUCUGGUCACUUAUCAUUUAUUAAAUCUGUGCUUCAGAACCAAAAAGUUGUGAGUCUUGACCAAUGUCCAGUCAUCAGCAUUGGAACGCGAAGGUGGGUGCACAUACCUAGAUUAGUGGCCAGAUAGCGCAUGUUUAAUUUUCUCUGUUUUUGCCUGGCAAAAACAUAGUAGCCAACCUACUUUAAUAUUAUUCAUAUAAAGUGCCAUUUAGCGAACUGCUACGGACGAAUCUUUGCCUCUGGGUAAGAGCGUUUGCUAAAUGACUGUACAUGACAAUAGGCUACCUGGUGAUUUCAUUGAUCAUUUUCACAUUUCAGAUAGGCAUUGUUUGGGUGGGUUAUAAACCUCAGUGGUGGUACUGCAUAUGUCUAAAGAUCGCUGUAACAUCGCACUACCUUCAAUACUUAUGGGAUGAAAAUGUAACAUUCUGGUGAAUUGAUUACGAUAUUUGUGAGGAAGAAAAAUAAUAAAGACAGAUCGUGCUUUCGGUCUGAUCCUGCAACCUCCGCUGCAUAGGCCUAAAGGUAGGCCGUAUGAUCCUACUUGCGCUGGAUUCCAGAGAAGUGACAAUAUGACAUGAUAUCCCUAGUUGAUAUUGACUGCUAACAAAUCCAGGUGUAAAAUGCCAACCUGGUCUCAGAGCAUUUCGUAUUAUUCUGUACGUAAAUCCGACCCUCCACUUACACCUACAGCAUUAACAAAUUACUGUACUUUACUUUAUAUGGAUUAUCGUAACAAAUGCACUGACGUGUUCAAAUUAUAUAGCAUGUCAAGAUAUGUUGUAUUUCCAUUGUGAAUUCAUGCAAUGAAAUUGAAAAAGGAUUAAAUUAUUGCUCUCACAAUUUCCACGGACAAAGAGACGCCUUCAAGACCGCUUAGCGGAACACAAGUACGCCAUACGGGUAGGCAAUGAAGACUACCCCAUGGCAAGGCACUACAAGUCCUUACACCAUGGUAACCCUGCCUCCCUACAAGCUAUGGGUAUUGAUCAUAUUCCGGCCUCUAUUAGAAAAGGGGACCGUCUGAAACAGUUAAACCAAAGGGAAAGUUUUUGGUUUUACAAACUACAGGCCACUAAAUACCCUGGUUUAAAUGAAGAUAUGGAUUUCUCACCCUUUCUGUAGGGUUGUGAUAGGUCCAUUUGCUGUCAUCUAGUGGACAUUGUGCUCAUUUGCCCUCAGCUAUGUUUAGACUGUUGUUGUUCAUGUUUUGCUGUUUUCUAGUGUACUAUGGAAUAUAUUGCUUUCUUAUUUUUGACACUUUUCCUAGUCAUAUUUAAGGUUAGAACUACCUUUCUAAGUGUUCUGAUACUUCUAACUUGGAGUUGUAUUUGUAUGAUAACAUAGUUACAGUAUUUCACUUGUUAAUGUGUAUAGGAUUGCUUACUAGGUGUGUCCAAUCAACUUUGUAACCACUCCCUCUUCAAAUUAGGGCUAAUUGGAAAAGCUGUUCAAAAGAGGACAUUGUAUUAUUUCUUUGUACUCCCUGACGAAGGCCAUGCAGCCGAAACGCGUCGGAUUAAAAAAAAAAUCUUGUUUCUAUUGAACAU